GACGAACGCUGGCGGCGUGCUUAACACACGCAAGUCGAGCGGUAAGGCCCUUUCGGGGGUACACGAGCGGCGAACGGGUGAGUAACACGUGGGUGACCUGCCCUCAGCUCUGGGAUAAGCCUGGGAAACUGGGUCUAAUACCGGAUAUGACUCCAUGACGCAUGUUGUGGGGUGGAAAGCCUUGUGCGGCUGAGGAUGGGCCCGCGGCCUAUCAGCUUGUUGGUGGGGUGAUGGCCUACCAAGGCGACGACGGGUAGCCGGCCUGAGAGGGCGACCGGCCACACUGGGACUGAGACACGGCCCAGACUCCUACGGGAGGCAGCAGUGGGGAAUCUUGCGCAAUGGGCGAAAGCCUGACGCAGCGACGCCGCGUGAGGGAUGACGGCCU
This 388-nucleotide ribosomal RNA is filed under the name uncultured bacterium. RNAcentral describes it as "bacterial SSU rRNA". It matches the Rfam family "Bacterial small subunit ribosomal RNA", at positions 28 to 417 of the family's 1533-position model. The record is from RNAcentral.